UGUCCUCUGAGUCAUGAUCCUCUGGGAUGAGGUUACCACUUGCACCUCCCAGUCCCAGAUGCCUCCGGCUCAGUUUAUUCCAUUGACAAACUGCUGAGGUGGCUCCUACCUGGGCCCUCUGGGAUGUGUGGAUCUGAUCCACUCACCACCUGCAGCAGAAACAGGCUGUAGCUGACAGCACCCUUUGUGACGUUGCUGCUUCAGGAUGACAUCUAUGAGGGAUGCUCUGGUCCCCACCGGCGAUGUACAAAGGUUGGGGAAACCAGAUUUCUGGGAGGAGUGACAGACUGCACAUUGAGAUACUCUCAACAAACAAUGCCAUCUAGAAUUGUCACAAAAACAGUGAUACUCUAUGCAGAGACCGCUAGAAAUUUACUAUCUGUGAUACUUGUAGCAGAGUAAACACCAUGUAUAAUAAAAGAACUCCUCUUAUUGAUAGCUGCUUCAUUUAAAGGGUUUGCUUUCCCCUUAAGUUUUGAAAACAACAGCAUUUUAUUCUUAAAUAAAAAUGGUGAUGAAAGACA
Peromyscus eremicus (cactus mouse) is the source of this 524-nucleotide long non-coding RNA. RefSeq lists it as uncharacterized. NCBI's taxonomy places the organism in Eukaryota, Metazoa, Chordata, Mammalia, Rodentia, Cricetidae. The record is from RefSeq and is a predicted model, not a curated record. The transcript has 2 exons.